AAGCUCGUAGUUGAAUUUCGGGACUAGUACGUUGGUCGUGCCUUAGGUACGUACUGGUGUUACUGGUUCCUACCUUCUGACGAACCAUUAUGUCAUAAUUUGGUGUGGUGGGGAAUCAGGACUGUUACUUUGAAAAAAUUAGAGUGUUUAAAGCAGGCUCGCGCUUGAAUACAUUAGCAUGGAACAAUGAAAUAGGACGUUGAUCCUAUUUUGUUGGUUCCUAGGAUUGACGUAAUGAUUAAUAGGGAUAGUUGGG
This 256-nucleotide ribosomal RNA is filed under the name uncultured Glomus. Its description in RNAcentral is "partial 18S ribosomal RNA". It matches the Rfam family "Eukaryotic small subunit ribosomal RNA", at positions 624 to 886 of the family's 1831-position model. Lineage: Eukaryota; Fungi; Glomeromycota; Glomeromycetes; Glomerales; Glomeraceae. The record is from RNAcentral.